RNAcentral lists this ribosomal RNA (468 nucleotides) under uncultured bacterium. Its description in RNAcentral is "partial 16S ribosomal RNA". It matches the Rfam family "Bacterial small subunit ribosomal RNA", at positions 28 to 507 of the family's 1533-position model. The record is from RNAcentral.
GACGAACGCUGGCGGCGUGCUUAACACAUGCAAGUCGAACGGAAAGGCCCUGCUUUUGUGGGGUGCUCGAGUGGCGAACGGGUGAGUAACACGUGAGUAACCUGCCCUUGACUUUGGGAUAACUUCAGGAAACUGGGGCUAAUACCGGAUAGGAGCUCCUGCUGCAUGGUGGGGGUUGGAUAGUUUCGGCGGUUGGGGAUGGACUCGCGGCUUAUCAGCUUGUUGGUGGGGUAGUGGCUUACCAAGGCUUUGACGGGUAGCCGGCCUGAGAGGGUGACCGGCCACAUUGGGACUGAGAUACGGCCCAGACUCCUACGGGAGGCAGCAGUGGGGAAUAUUGCACAAUGGGCGGAAGCCUUAUGCAGCAACGCCGCGUGCGGGAUGACGGCCUUCGGGUUGUAAACCGCUUUCGCCUGUGACGAAGCGUGAGUGACGGUAAUGGGUAAAGAAGCACCGGCUAACUACGUG